GUGAUUAAUCAACUCCUCGUUUAAAAAAGACAAAUGAAUACAUUUCUCACCAAUUUUCUCCUAAAUCUUACCCUAGAAAGCCACUGUUGUUGCGCCGACAGACAGUCCUCACCACUUCCAGCCUGCAUUACCCUGUUGAGAAAAAAUCAACCACAAUUUAUUUACCUCUAAAAUAGAGACCAGGUUUUGAAAACUUAAAAAGACAAAUGAACACAUUUGUCGCCCAUUUUCUCCCAAAAUCGUACCCUAGAAAGCCGCUGUUGUUUCGCUGACACACAAUCCUUACCACCUCUUGCCUGCAUCAACCCGUUAAAGAAGAAAUCAACCUCAAUCUAUUUACCACUAAAAUAGAGACCGAGUUUUGAAAAUAUCUCCAUAACAAGUUGAUCCAAAUUUGUAGAUCGAUGAACAAGAUGUGAGCAGCAAACUUCCAGCCACUGUGAAGUCUAGACCACAAUCAUCAUCUGCCAUGAACACAUCAUUUAUACACAUCACUUGAGAAUGAAGCUCGAAGCUGGACUGAAAGAAGAUGGACCUUUACGUUCAGACAAAGCUCGAAUAGAAGAUGGAGAUGAUGGACCUUUACGUGGCAAGGUGUUUUGACUAAGCAGGGUGUACUAAACCAAAGUGCUCAUACCUUCCUAUGUAAUGGGUUGGGUUAUAGGUUUACAUGAAGCUGAAGCUAAAAGAUAUGUCAGUAAAAUGAAGCUCGAAGCUGGACUGAAAGAAGAUGGAUCUGUUGGAAUACUUUCAAAUAUGGGAUUCACAUUCGAUUGUAAAAUUUCACAGGUUAGAUGUAUGACUUACAAUGACAUUAUAAUUAGACCGAUUAUGUUAAAUGAUUAAUUUGGGCUGUUUUACA
This is a long non-coding RNA of Olea europaea var. sylvestris, 862 nucleotides long. RefSeq lists it as uncharacterized. Lineage: Eukaryota; Viridiplantae; Streptophyta; Magnoliopsida; Lamiales; Oleaceae. The record is from RefSeq and is a predicted model, not a curated record. The transcript has 2 exons.